AGCCUCGGUACGCCUUUGGGGGUACGUCUCUAGAUUUGCACUCUAGUGUGAAAUCACCUCGAGGCUUG
Molecule: transfer RNA, 68 nt
Filed under: Ablepharus sikimmensis
Lineage: Eukaryota; Metazoa; Chordata; Lepidosauria; Squamata; Scincidae
Description: tRNA-Cys
Source: RNAcentral